Molecule: ribosomal RNA, 491 nt
Filed under: uncultured bacterium
Lineage: Bacteria
Description: partial 16S ribosomal RNA
Rfam family: Bacterial small subunit ribosomal RNA
Source: RNAcentral
GUGAACGCUGGCGGUAGGCCUAACCCAUGCAAGUCGAACGGCAGCACCGUAAGAGCUUGCUCUUACGGGUGGCGAGUGGCGGACGGGUGAGGAAUACAUCGGAAUCUACUUUUUCGUGGGGGAUAACGUAGGGAAACUUACGCUAAUACCGCAUACGACCUACGGGUGAAAGCAGGGGAUCUUCGGACCUUGCGCGAUUGAAUGAGCCGAUGUCGGAUUAGCUAGUUGGCGGGGUAAAGGCCCACCAAGGCGACGAUCCGUAGCUGGUCUGAGAGGAUGAUCAGCCACACUGGAACUGAGACACGGUCCAGACUCCUACGGGAGGCAGCAGUGGGGAAUAUUGGACAAUGGGCGCAAGCCUGAUCCAGCCAUACCGCGUGGGUGAAGAAGGCCUUCGGGUUGUAAAGCCCUUUUGUUGGGAAAGAAAAGCAGCAGGUUAAUACCCCACUGUUCUGACGGUACCCAAAGAAUAAGCACCGGCUAACUUCGUG